Non-coding RNA from Sus scrofa (pig), 72 nucleotides. Lineage: Eukaryota; Metazoa; Chordata; Mammalia; Artiodactyla; Suidae. The record is from Rfam.
UCCCUGGUGGUCUGAUGGUUAGGAUUCAGCACUUUCACUGCUGUGGCCCAGGUUCAAUACCUGGGCUGGGAA